This 1448-nucleotide ribosomal RNA is filed under the name metagenome. RNAcentral describes it as "bacterial SSU rRNA". It matches the Rfam family "Bacterial small subunit ribosomal RNA". The record is from RNAcentral.
AGAGUUUGAUCCUGGCUCAGGAUGAACGCUGGCGGCGUGCUUAACACAUGCAAGUCGAACGAGCCUUCGGGCUAGUGGCGGACGGGUGAGUAACGCGUGGGAAUCUGCCCUCAGGAGGGGGAUAACGGCCGGAAACGGCCGCUAAUACCCCAUAUGCCGAGAAGUGAAACGAAAUUCGCCUGGGGAUGAGCCCGCGUCUGAUUAGCUAGUUGGUGUGGUAAUGGCUCACCAAGGCAUCGAUCAGUAGCUGGUCUGAGAGGAUGAUCAGCCACACUGGGACUGAGACACGGCCCAGACUCCUACGGGAGGCAGCAGUGGGGAAUUUUCCGCAAUGGGCGCAAGCCUGACGGAGCAACGCCGCGUGAGGGACGAAGGCCUCUGGGCUGUAAACCUCUUUUCUCAAGGAAGAAGACAUGACGGUACUUGAGGAAUAAGCCACGGCUAAUUCCGUGCCAGCAGCCGCGGUAAUACGGGAGUGGCAAGCGUUAUCCGGAAUUAUUGGGCGUAAGCGUCCGCAGGCGGCCUUGAAAGUCUGUUGUUAAAGCGUGGAGCUCAACUCCAUUUCAGCAAUGGAAACUACAAGGCUAGAGUGUGGUAGGGGCAGAGGGAAUUCCCGGUGUAGCGGUGUGCCCAAAUGCGUAGAUAUCGGGAAGAACACCAGUGGCGAAGGCGCUCUGCUGGGCCAUAACUGACGCUCAUGGACGAAAGCCAGGGGAGCGAAAGGGAUUAGAUACCCCUGUAGUCCUGGCCGUAAACGAUGAACACUAGGUGUCGGGAGAAUUAACCCUUUCGGUGUCGUAGCCAACGCGUUAAGUGUUCCGCCUGGGGAGUACGCACGCAAGUGUGAAACUCAAAGGAAUUGACGGGGGCCCGCACAAGCGGUGGAGUAUGUGGUUUAAUUCGAUGCAACGCGAAGAACCUUACCAGGGUUUGACAUCCUGCGAAUCCCUUGGAAACUUGGGAGUGCCUUCGGGAGCGCAGUGACAGGUGGUGCAUGGCUGUCGUCAGCUCGUGUCGUGAGAUGUUGGGUUAAGUCCCGCAACGAGCGCAACCCACGUCUUUAGUUGCCAGCAUUCAGUUGGGCACUCUAGAGAGACCGCCGGUGAUAAACCGGAGGAAGGUGUGGAUGACGUCAAGUCAUCAUGCCCCUUACAUCCUGGGCUACACACGUACUACAAUGCUACGGACAAAGGGCAGCAAACUCGCGAGAGCUAGCAAAUCCCAUAAACCGUGGCUCAGUUCAGAUCGUAGGCUGCAACUCGCCUACGUGAAGGAGGAAUCGCUAGUAAUCGCAGGUCAGCAUACUGCGGUGAAUACGUUCCCGGGCCUUGUACACACCGCCCGUCACACCAUGGAAGUUGGCCAUGCCCGAAGUCGUUACUCCAACCCGCAAGGGAGGAGGACGCCGAAGGUGGGGCUGAUGACUGGGGUGAAGUCGGAACAAGAUA